RNAcentral lists this ribosomal RNA (570 nucleotides) under uncultured Ascomycota. RNAcentral's name for it is "eukaryotic LSU rRNA". The stretch from base 203 to 356 matches the Rfam family "5.8S ribosomal RNA". Lineage: Eukaryota; Fungi; Ascomycota. The record is from RNAcentral.
CUUGGUCAUUUAGAGGAAGUAAAAGUCGUAACAAGGUCUCCGUUGGUGAACCAGCGGAGGGAUCAUUACAGAGUUGCAAAACUCCCAGCCCUUUGUGAACGAACCUACCAGUUGCCUCGGCGGCGAGCCUUUCAGGCGGACCGCCGAAGGAAUACAAACUCUUUGCAUUAUAGUAUCUCUGAUUACUUAUUCAAUAAGUUAAAACUUUCAACAACGGAUCUCUUGGUUCUGGCAUCGAUGAAGAACGCAGCGAAAUGCGAUAAGUAAUGUGAAUUGCAGAAUUCAGUGAAUCAUCGAAUCUUUGAACGCACAUUGCGCCCGCUAGUACUCUGGCGGGCAUGCCUGUUCGAGCGUCAUUUCAACCAUCAAGCCCUAGGCCUGUGUUGGAGCCCUGCGGCUGCCGCAGCCUCCUAAAAACAGUGGCGGGCUCGCUAUCACACCGAGUGCAGUAGUUUACUCUUCGCUCAGGGCGUGUGGCGGGUGCUGGCCGUGAAACCCCCUACUUCUUAAGGUUGACCUCGGAUCAGGUAGGAAUACCCGCUGAACUUAAGCAUAUCAAUAAGCGGAGGA